Oxyura jamaicensis (ruddy duck) is the source of this 4377-nucleotide RNA transcript. RefSeq lists it as uncharacterized. The record is from RefSeq and is a predicted model, not a curated record. The transcript has 17 exons. NCBI's taxonomy places the organism in Eukaryota, Metazoa, Chordata, Aves, Anseriformes, Anatidae.
CCCUCCGUCCCUCCCUCGUCUCCCCACGGCACCGGCUCGGGCUCUGCCUCCCACAGCGCUCCCAGCGGCAGCCCGGGGGCUCUCCGUGCCGCCAGGGCCCUGCCGCCGCCGCCGCCGCCUUCCCCGGUGUCCCCCGGUGGGGCGGCGCGGCCGCCAUGUGGCGGCCCUGAGGGCAGCGCAGCCCCGGGGCCAAGGGGAAGGUCGGCGGCGGCUGCCUUUGGCUGGCUGCCGGGGCUGGGCGAGGGCUCCCGGCGGUGUUGUGCUGCCCGAGGGAAGCUCGAGUGGUUUCCUGCCGUGCCCCGGGGAUUUGGGCGAUUUCCUGAAUCUAAAAUAAAAAUCUUUUAUUUUGUUAUUUUGGUACUUUCCCUAAAGUUGCCGUAUCAUCUGAAGCUCAGCCAUGGACCCCGAAGCUGAGAUAAAGAAGCAGGUUAACCCCUUCUACUGCAACAUUUGCAAAAUCUGGUGUGCUUCUGCAUUAAACUUGCAGACUCACUUCCUUGGAUUCAAGCAUAAGACGGUUGAAGAAGCACUGAAAGCUCAUGGUAUUGUUAAAACUGCGGGUGGCACAGGGGAACAAGUGAAAACACCUGAAAAACUUCCUGAUUAUGUGCAAACUGAGCCAGAGAGAUUUCAUGGACAGACUUUGGAAGAGCAACUUAACACAUGUAAAGAUUCAGAACCUGCACUCGGACUUAAUUAUAUAAUUGAAUACCGAUCAAAAGACAAUUUCCCUUUUCUCUAUGAGUGUCAACUGUGCCACUGUAAAACAGGACUGAGUAACAUGUUCAUGCAUGUUUGUGGCUCCAAGCAUAGACUGGCAUACUUGAAACAACAUUAUCCUGAGAUAGCAGAAUCCGAUGAAGUUAAGGGUAAAGGCUCUGAGCUCAACAGAAAAGUUAGACAAGUUGCAUUAACAAUUGAGAAGAAAGAAGGAAGAAAACAAAUAAAGGUUGUUACGGAUGCCCCGAUGAUGAGGAAGAGAUGGCAAGAAUAUCCUAAUGCAGAUGACAGCCCUUCAAAAGCUAAAGUUCAGCAUGUGGAUAUGUUGCUUAGUAAUGAAAAAGAAACAGAUGGUAAAAAUAAGGAUGGAAAAAUGCCAGACCCUAUGCAAGAAAAGAAUGUUCAAGAGGAGCCGGAAAAAAGUCAGCAAGAACAGGCAAAACCAGAUGAGAAGGCUGAAACUAAUAAGCCUAUUGAAAGCAGCAAAGACAACAAGACUGAGGAAGACAGCAAAGGCAACGGUUCUGAAAAGUGUGAGACCAAUAAACAAUUGCAGGAAGAAAAUGAGGAACUUGAGCAAGAAUCUCCAGCAAAUCUUGAGGAAUUUACUAGUCAAGAAGAACUGUUGGGUUAUUUGCGAAGUUUUGAGAUACUGAAUGAGGAUGAUGCUGCUUUUAUCCUAAAAGUAACACAGACUCUCACAGAUGCACUGGUGGAGUAUCGUCAGCAGGCUGCAUCGAAAAAAGAUCUCUUAGAUACUGAGCAUAAUGGAGAAGAAGUAUUGGAACAUUCCACAGAGCAAUCUGACCUGAAUUCUGCAGAUAUUAGUGAUUCUGAUACUGACUAUUCAAGCAGCCGAUCAGCUAAGAAGUCUUUAUCAGUAACUGAGGAAGAUGAACUGCAAAACUUUUCAGCUGGCACUUUGGAAGCAGCGUAUGAGAACAACAUCACCGCUGAAUUUUUGAACAGUGUAAGAAAUAUGAACGUUGUGGAAGUUACUGCUACUCUACACAAAAUAGCGGCAGCAAACCCAGCUUUCAGAGCGUAAGGAAGUUCUGUAGGCCUGUGCUUAAGGCCUGUGCUGUUUAAAUGGCCUGGAAAAAGGGAUGAGUAUCUGGAUGACAAAAUUUUGUGAUUGCACCAUUAUUCAAAGCAGUUGAAGUGUAGGUUGACUGAAGUUCAAAUGCUCCUCAUCAGGAAUUGAUAUUCCAAAUGUUGUAAGGAUCCUGACUGAAAGUGGGACUCUGAGAAGACCAAGCAAUGGCAGCACACAGUGACAUGGUAGUUAGCAGAGUUAAUAUUGCAGUAUUUACUUUCUGUAAGUUUGACAAUGUUCUUUUACUUGAGAUGAACUCAAUGAAGCUGAUUUUACUAUAUCCAAAUUCUGUACAGUGUUGUUUUAAUUAAAAAAUUGGUUAUGAGAUUCCUGUUAUUUAUUUUUCCAUAUGGCUGACAUUUCUGUGUUUGUAGAAAGGUUGUAAAGUUCAUGUGUCCCUUGCUGCUUAAACAUAUUUUUAAAAAAGGUAGCUGUUGUUUUCCUAAAUAUUUUUGCAUUCUGUAUAUUGGCAAUCUGAUCUCUUCAUAUUGGUUCUUUUGGUUCUUUUACAAAGAGUUAACAACAGAAGGGAUAACAGAAGUCAGCAGUUCAAAUUCAUGCUACAACAAAUAGUUGGAAAUUAUUGCCUGUGGCUGCAGAGCCCUACUCAAAGGCUAUUGAAAUCAAAAACCUCCUUUCAUGUAAGAAUGAUGAAUUGGUCUCCUCCUCUGUUUCUAAAUAAAGAUUAAUAAUAAAAAGCCAGUGCUGUCAGUCCAGUUCUGAGCUGAGAAGUGCAUGGACUAUAGGUAAUUUGUGUAGGCUAGAUAAUUGGAAAAUUUAGCAAACUCAGCAGAGGUUUACUUGCUUUUGCAAACUCAGAGAUAUGUCCCAAGAGACGUAACCAGACCAUGCUAAAGACACACUGAAGUGAUAGUGAAAAUAUCUUCUGUCUUCUCUUAUAUGACCAGUAUGAGAAUGAAGUGAAAGUUUGCUUAUACUAUCCUUCAGUUCUGGCUUUGAAGGUAAACUUUUUUUCACCUACUGCAAUAGUCUUUUUGACUUAAUAUACGUGUGCGUAUAUAUAUAUAUACGUAAUAAAUACAUUUAUAUGUAUAAGUCCUAUGUGUUAACCACUACUAAUUUGGUAGGAUGAUAGAAAAAUGUUUUGGAUGGUUACAGAUUAAUGUGCUUGGAAAAAAUAUUUUUUUUUUAAAUUAAAUUGCCUAAUUAAAGUCUUCUUCCUGCGUGUGGUCUUGGGUAGCGUUCAGUGCUUCUAAUUAAAGCUCUUCGGCUUUGCAGCCAAAAGCUGGUAUAAUACAGACAUGAUGGGGCCAGAUGGUAAAUGAACCUUUUAAUGUUAACUUACACUUUUUUUGGAGAUGUGGAUGGAAUUGAGAAUCCUCAUCCUGCUUUCACAUCUUCGUAUCGUGGAAUGCACGAUGCCGUAAAAGAAAGGUAACAAAAAAAGCAACAGAAUCGGUUAGUUUUGUUCUAUGAACAAACUAACCAUGGAGGAAUAUGGUUAGUUGAUUAGAUAGAAUUAACCGCAUAGGAGUGAAAACGGUUCAAUGACAAUUAAAGAAAUUAAAACAGAAAACAAUUACUGUUUUAAUGAAAUUGUGAAGAAUUUCUAGAAUGUCUUGAAGUUCUGUUCAGAAACAGAGAUAAAACCAGAGUCUAAUCAGCUCUGCAGUUAUUCUCCCCUGAAAACUUUGUUUGCUGGUGCAUAUAGAGUCUGCAAAAGAGUUGUUUUGUUUGGUCUUGUAUCUUGCGUGUGUUUUGUGAUGGCUCAGUAUGUUCUUAUGCUAAUGGAAAACGGUAUUUUUGUUCCAAAACAGUUUUUAAGGAUAAUAUUUUACUUGUGUCCAAUUUUUUUAAAGACACUAUCUCUACUAAUGAUGCUUAAGAAAUGUUGUGCUGUACUUAAUAUUAUACACUGAUUGUUAAAGUACCACUAAGGCAGACUUUCUGUCUAUCGGAUAAUUCAUUGAAUUUAAAACUUAAGUGAUAUCAAGAAAAAUUCUACCAAUUAGGAACUGAUUUUUCUUUUAGCUUUACCUUAGCGUAACAUAUUUUACUGAGACACCAGAGAGCUUGAGGGAAAUUAUCUUUAACAAAACUGGAGAACUUGAACUUCUCUUAUAAGGCAUAACGUGUGAAAGAGAAGGACACUCAGGUGAAUUGACAGGAAAUGAAAAAGUUUGAGUAUGCAAUGGAAGACAAGCUGCCUGGUGUACAUUGUGAUGAUCUCUGAUCAUAAUUCUAGAGUUACGGAAACAUAACUGCCCUGGUUUUGCUUCCGGUUUCUUCUAGGAUUGUGAUAUGUCUUUCUGAGUUAGGAAUUUAUUAUCCCUUUUGAAGCAGCAAGCCCCAUCUUGUGAAUUUGAUCUAGGCGUCGGUGUACAAAGCUCAUAUAGGGUGCCCGAGGGUUUGAUACCAUUUGUGAAACCUGAAAUGCUAAUGCUGACUCUGCACUACCUUCACUGAAACUAUUCUUGAGUCUUUAAUUGUUUUUCUACUCUGUAAAUGCAAAUCCUGGGUUUUAUUAUUGCAUUUUUGUUGGAGGAAAUGUUAUUACGUAACUUCAUUUUAGAAAUACAAUUAAAAACGUUCUCAUGAAG